Molecule: ribosomal RNA, 468 nt
Filed under: uncultured bacterium
Lineage: Bacteria
Description: partial 16S ribosomal RNA
Rfam family: Bacterial small subunit ribosomal RNA
Source: RNAcentral
GACGAACGCUGGCGGCGCGCCUAACACAUGCAAGUCGAACGGAGUCAAGAGGAGCUUGCUUUUCUUGACUUAGUGGCGAACGGGUGAGUAACGCGUGAGUAACCUGCCCUGGAGUGGGGGACAACAGUUGGAAACGACUGCUAAUACCGCAUAAGCCCACGGAUCUGCAUGGAUCUGCGGGAAAAGGAUUUAUUCGCUCUAGGAUGGACUCGCGUCCAAUUAGCAAGUUGGUGAGGUAACGGCCCACCAAGGCGACGAUUGGUAGCCGGACUGAGAGGUUGAACGGCCACAGUGGGACUGAGACACGGCCCAGACUCCUACGGGAGGCAGCAGUGGGGGAUAUUGCACAAUGGGGGAAACCCUGAUGCAGUGACGCCGCGUGGAGGAAGAAGGUUUUCGGAUUGUAAACUCCUGUCGUUAGGGACGAUAAUGACGGUACCUAACAAGAAAGCACCAGCUAACUACGUG